This is a long non-coding RNA of Larimichthys crocea (large yellow croaker), 607 nucleotides long. RefSeq lists it as uncharacterized. The transcript has 3 exons. Lineage: Eukaryota; Metazoa; Chordata; Actinopteri; Sciaenidae. The record is from RefSeq and is a predicted model, not a curated record.
AACACAAAGUUCUCUGGUCAGAUUAUUCUGUGGAACUUGACUCGUCAACAAAUAUUAACAUAACCAGAGGGAUGCAGCAAAUCGAGACAGCAGAUUAUGUUAAUGAGAGACCAAGAUGUGGACAGAAACGCAGUGGGGAUAAACAUCAAACAGAGAGAAGACUCUGUCAGCUACUUUUCCUCAGCUUUGGCCUGCUGUGUAUCAUACAAGCCACUCUCAAUAUUGCUCUACGCCUUACUUUAUACUCAAGCAACGAAUCAACCCCCUUGCACUGCAAUUCAACUCAUUCUAGUGACCAGAAGAAGUUGAAGGAGGAACAGGAUUGUGAGCAAAGAAGGAAUGAUCAGUACAACAGAUUGCAGGAAAAAUUCAAUGCCUUGGCCAAAGACAUAAGCGAGUGUGAAAACAGAAACACUGUCCUUAACAACAGGAUAAAGAACGUGCAGGAGGAGAUGGACAGACUGAAGGGUGAGAAAAAAAUCAAGCUAUGAAGAAGAAAGGAAGAGGAACUAUAAUUGAGGUUGAUGCCUUACAUUUCAACCUCCGUAAGCGCCUGUAUUAAAAUGUCCAACUUCAUGGCAGAAAUAAACAUGUUUACAGCCCGGUA